GUUCCGGUAGCAAGCGCGCGCGUGUCACGUGACGCGCGUCGUGAAAAUGAACGUACGAUGUAUAUGUAUGCACGGGCAUGAUGACGGUUUGGGGUUAGAAGCCAAUUUGUUUUGUACUGGAAAUUCGACUGAUAGGCGAAAGAGACGCCUGACUGAUGAUAUAAGCGCGGCUGUUUCGUUACAGCGAGUGAAACUUAAAUGAGUGAUAUGUUCGAUUGUCGAGAUAAGGAGUGAAUUUUUUAUACGAUUAUUAUGGGGAGAGUGUGUUGCGUUUUGGGAUGCCCAUCGGGUGGCGAUGCCCCGUCUCAUCAGAUCCCGAAGAACCCAGUCCUCUUCCAGAAAUGGAAGGACAUGAUCUACUCCGAGAAGAUUCAGCACAUGACUGACGAGCAGAUAAGCAAGUGCACCGUCUGCUACCGCCACUUUGCCAGUGACGAUUAUCUGAUAACUUAUCGAGUAAGGAAACUGAAACGUGGCAUCGCACCCUCACUAAAUCUGCCGAACAAACCUGCCAGCAGCAGCAGCGAGCCGGAUGUAGUUAAAACAGAACCAGACACUGAAUCCGAGCCAUUGAGCGCAAGUGCGUCCGUAAAGGAGGAGCGUGUAGAAGGUGCGGGGAGUGGAGAAGCCGCAGCUGGCAUUGCGUUGUUCGAGGACGCUCCGGAGACGCUGGAGCUGCGCUUCGAGGAAUCGCCAGACCGCGUCUCGUCGAACGAGCGCGUCGAGCGAAUCGACCUGGCGACGGAGCCAGAAUUCGAGUCACAUUGCAAAAAGGAAAGAGCAUCGAGGAGAAAACGAGCGAGACUGAAGCAGAAGCAGUUGACGCUACUGCGAUGCAAGAAGCAGGCCGAGCGAUACGAGAGAACGCCUACGAUACAGAGGAUACUGUCGCUGUUGACGUCCGACGAAGUGGCGGCUGCCAAGGCGAAAAUACGAAGGUCGAGAUACCUGCCGAAGGUGUAUGUUAAAGUGUACCACGACAUUGCGAAGAGUAAGGCUCUUUCUCAUAAGACCUGAUGAUUCCGAUUCAUCGACUCGUCGAAUAUCGAAGUUUAAAUACGCCGAGAGGAUCAGACGUCGUUGAACAUACUUAAUUAAAUGAUUUUGCUGGGGCAUGAAUGAAUGCUUGGAUAAGCAUUCUCAAUUGUAUAAGAAAAGGUAGAGCUUGUUUUAAAUGUCUGGCAAUUCUCUGUGCGAGUGGGAAAGAUCCUAAGUGGGCAGAAAUAUUUGAUGCGAAAUCAGUGUUCGAUACAACGUUAGUUUUACUGUAUUUUUAAAAACAAAUACAUGAAAUAUACAUUUAUAAUUAUAUAUAUA
Molecule: unclassified non-coding RNA, 1317 nt
Filed under: Ooceraea biroi (clonal raider ant)
Lineage: Eukaryota; Metazoa; Arthropoda; Insecta; Hymenoptera; Formicidae
Description: uncharacterized LOC105278880, transcript variant X1
Source: RNAcentral